CGUGAGCGAUGAAGCCCUUCGGGGUGUAAAGCUCUUUCGGCAGGGAAGAAAAAGACGGUACCUGCAGAAGCAGCUGCGGCUAACUACGUGC
RNAcentral lists this ribosomal RNA (91 nucleotides) under uncultured bacterium. RNAcentral describes it as "partial 16S ribosomal RNA". It matches the Rfam family "Bacterial small subunit ribosomal RNA", at positions 400 to 508 of the family's 1533-position model. The record is from RNAcentral.